RNAcentral lists this unclassified non-coding RNA (414 nucleotides) under soil metagenome. RNAcentral's name for it is "partial contains 5.8S ribosomal RNA, internal transcribed spacer 2, and large subunit ribosomal RNA". The stretch from base 1 to 121 matches the Rfam family "5.8S ribosomal RNA", at positions 35 to 154 of the family's 154-position model. The record is from RNAcentral.
GAUGAAGAACGUAGCGAAAUGCGAUAAGUAGUGUGAAUUGCAGAAGUACCGUGAAUCAUCGAAUCUUUGAACGCAAAUUGCACUCUCUGGUAUUCCGGGGAGUAUGCCUGUUUGAGGGUCGCUUAACAAACCAUCGAUUUCGUUGCUUUUUUUUUAAAAAAGUGAUGUUUAUCGGAUUUGAGCCGUCUUUUUUUUUUUUAUAUUUAAGUGGCUUAAAAUUGAUUUUUUUUGGUACGAUCGAAGCGUAUUUUUAUGAUCAAUUUUUGGUUAAAGAAACGCACACGUACCGUUAUUUAUAUGAUGUAAUACGUUUGACUAUCGGAUUUAGUUCAUUCGUAUACGAUAUUUUUCAAUAUUUGACCUCAAAUCAGGUAAGAACACCCGCUGAACUUAAGCAUAUCAAUAAGCGGAGGA